RNAcentral lists this ribosomal RNA (450 nucleotides) under uncultured bacterium. RNAcentral describes it as "bacterial SSU rRNA". It matches the Rfam family "Bacterial small subunit ribosomal RNA", at positions 28 to 474 of the family's 1533-position model. The record is from RNAcentral.
GACGAACGCUGGCGGCGUGCCUAACACAUGCAAGUCGAACGGAACUUUUUUAAAAGAUUUCUUCGGAAUGAAUUUGAUUAAGUUUAGUGGCGGACGGGUGAGUAACGCGUGAGUAACCUGCCUCUAAGAGGGGAAUAACAUUCUGAAAAGAAUGCUAAUACCGCAUAAUAUAUAUUUAUCGCAUGGUAGAUAUAUCAAAGAUUUAUCGCUUAGAGAUGGACUCGCGUCCGAUUAGUUAGUUGGUGAGGUAACGGCUCACCAAGACCGCGAUCGGUAGCCGGACUGAGAGGUUGAACGGCCACAUUGGGACUGAGACACGGCCCAGACUCCUACGGGAGGCAGCAGUGGGGGAUAUUGCGCAAUGGGGGAAACCCUGACGCAGCAACGCCGCGUGAAGGAUGAAGGUCUUCGGAUUGUAAACUUCUUUUAUUAAGGACGAAGAAAGUGACG